This 107-nucleotide transfer RNA is filed under the name Deltaproteobacteria bacterium. Its description in RNAcentral is "tRNA-Val". The record is from RNAcentral. Lineage: Bacteria; Pseudomonadati; Myxococcota; Myxococcia.
GCGUCGGUGGCCUGCCGCCAGGGGGAGCCCUCCAUCGAGGACGACUGGUCGAGGAGCAGCAUGAGGCGGACGAUCUCGUGGUGCAGGUUGAAGUCCUGCUCGGCGCA